GCAGGGUGAGUCGACCCCUAAGGCGAGGCCGAAAGGCGUAGUCGAUGGGAAACAGGUUAAUAUUCCUGUACUUGGUGUUACUGCGAAGGGGGGACGGAGAAGGCUAUGUUAGCCGGGCGACGGUUGUCCCGGUUUAAGCAUGUAGGCGGAGGUUCCAGGUAAAUCCGGUACCUUUUUAACGCUGAGGUGUGAUGACGAGGCACUACGGUGCUGAAGUAACAAAUGCCCUGCUUCCAG
This 237-nucleotide ribosomal RNA is filed under the name Xanthomonas citri pv. citri. RNAcentral describes it as "partial 23S ribosomal RNA". It matches the Rfam family "Bacterial large subunit ribosomal RNA", at positions 1374 to 1611 of the family's 2925-position model. The record is from RNAcentral. Lineage: Bacteria; Pseudomonadati; Pseudomonadota; Gammaproteobacteria; Lysobacterales; Lysobacteraceae.